AACGAACGCUGGCGGCAUGCCUAACACAUGCAAGUCGAACGAGACCUUCGGGUCUAGUGGCGCACGGGUGCGUAACGCGUGGGAACCUGCCCUUAGGUUCGGAAUAACUCCCCGAAAGGGGUGCCAGUACCGGAUAAUGUCUUCGGACCAAAGAUUUAUCGCCUUUGGAUGGGCCCGCGUUGGAUUAGCUAGUUGGUAGGGUAAAAGCCUACCAAGGCGACGAUCCAUAGCUGGUCUGAGAGGAUGAUCAGCCACACUGGGACUGAGACACGGCCCAGACUCCUACGGGAGGCAGCAGUGGGGAAUAUUGGACAAUGGGCGAAAGCCUGAUCCAGCAAUGCCGCGUGAGUGAUGAAGGCCUUAGGGUUGUAAAGCUCUUUUACCCGGGAUGAUAAUGACAGUACCGGGAGAAUAAGCGCCGGCUAACUCCGUG
RNAcentral lists this ribosomal RNA (433 nucleotides) under uncultured bacterium. Its description in RNAcentral is "partial 16S ribosomal RNA". It matches the Rfam family "Bacterial small subunit ribosomal RNA", at positions 29 to 507 of the family's 1533-position model. The record is from RNAcentral.